CCCCUAGAUGUUCUGGGCCGCACGCGCGCUACACUGAACAGUUCAACAAGUCUUAACCUUGGCCGAUAGGUCUGGGUAAUCUUUGAACGCUGUUCGUGAUUGGGAUAGACCUUUGCAAUUAUGGGUCUUCAACGAGGAAUUCCUAGUAAACGCAAGUCAUCAGCUUGCAUUGAUUACGUCCCUGCCCUUUGUACACACCGCCCGUCGCACCUACCGAUUGAAUGGUCCGGUGAAAUCUCGGGACGGCGGCUUGGUCGCUUGCGUCCGACUGCUGAAACUUGAUUAAACCAUAUCAUUUAGAGGAAGGUGANGUCGUAACA
Molecule: ribosomal RNA, 320 nt
Filed under: uncultured eukaryote
Lineage: Eukaryota
Description: partial 18S ribosomal RNA
Rfam family: Eukaryotic small subunit ribosomal RNA
Source: RNAcentral